Molecule: ribosomal RNA, 369 nt
Filed under: uncultured bacterium
Lineage: Bacteria
Description: partial 16S ribosomal RNA
Rfam family: Bacterial small subunit ribosomal RNA
Source: RNAcentral
UCUACGGGAGGCUGCAGUGGGGAAUUUUGCGCAAUGCUCGUAAGAGUGACGCAGCGACGCCGCGUGAAUGACGAAGGCCUUCGGGUCGUAAAGUUCGUUUGACAGGGAAGAAAAUGCCUAUAAGUAACUGUGUAUGUAUUGAUGGUACAUGUAUAAGCAGCCUCGGCCAACUCCGUGCCAGCAGCCGCGGUAAUAAGGAGGGGGCGAGCGUUGUUCGGAGUGUUUGGGGGGAAAGAGCACGUAGGCGGUGUUGUAAGUCAUUAGUCAAAGACUAGCGCUCAACUUUGGUAAGGCUAGUGAUACUAUACUACUAGAGAAUCAGGGAGGAUUGCGGAAUUCAUGGUGUAGCGGUGAAAGGCGUAGAUAUCA